Long non-coding RNA from Capsicum annuum, 889 nucleotides. RefSeq lists it as uncharacterized. The transcript has 3 exons. The record is from RefSeq and is a predicted model, not a curated record. NCBI's taxonomy places the organism in Eukaryota, Viridiplantae, Streptophyta, Magnoliopsida, Solanales, Solanaceae.
CUAUAUAUCUGUAUGUAUUUGUUGUAAUGUUAAAAUUAUGUGGGAGCUACUUUUCAAUUAUUAUUUUUCUUUCAAAAUUACUAUUAAUAGAAAAAGGGAAGGGAGUAUAUCAUUAUCUUCCACUGGAACUUUCCAGCAGAACAAGAACCAACGUUACUACUAUGUUUCUUCCUCUAUUUUCUCUCUCUUCUCUUUCUCUCCUUUCAACAAGGAGAGUUAAAUUAAACUAUCAAGAAAGGAUUGUUAACGGAGAAGGGAUAACCUCAUUUUAAGGAUCAUAAGCUCAAGAAUGUUGUGACAACCUCAGAGAAUUUCAAGAAGUAAUUUAUAGUAUCUAUAGUUGGAAUUUGAGCUCUAAAAGAUUGAAUCUUUGGGUCGUUUGGAACCCGCAAAUCUACUUUAUCUAUGAAGUCCUCGAGAUUUCCUAUUGUAAGAUAAAGGGGCAGCCCGUUGUAUAUUGUGGAAUUCAGAAUUGAGUGUUUCUGUGAAUACAGGAUCAGAUGUAUCGAUGAGCAGACUUUUAUACUAGGCACUCGUCCGUAUUCAGCAAAGCAGUCGGUGAGCUCCUUUCUUACCUGUAGCGAAUAAAUAUCUAGUACUUUUUAAUUAUGUUUUCGGUUAUAGUUUGGGUAUGUUGGGGUCCAGCCCUGACCACCUUCUACGGUACAGUUACAAUUUCACUUAGAGGCUUCGUAGACAGUGUUUAGUUGUCAUACGUGGUCAUAGUUGUACAUAGCCCCUUUUCAUUAUUUGUAAAUUGCAACUCCUUCGCACAGUAUAUAUGUUAGCCACAUAACUGAUACUCAAAACGGUUCUUGUCCGCCAUGCCUAGGCUAGGCUAGGGGCGUGACAUCUACUUUCAUUAAUUGACUAACUUUGCCCUUUGUUG